UUUCUCCUGCUGUGUGCGUUGAAUAGGUCUAUGUUGAGCCAACAUUGAUACAAUAGGAACUUAACUCUUCAUGUGGAGCGUUGACUAGAGCACGACUCGGGUACCAGAAGCAAUGAAGGAGAUUUCCGCCCGUGGUAGAACGGGUUCAAAUAUACCUUGGAAACGGCAUGGUGGGGAUUAA
Molecule: non-coding RNA, 181 nt
Organism: Clostridium argentinense CDC 2741
Lineage: Bacteria; Bacillati; Bacillota; Clostridia; Eubacteriales; Clostridiaceae
Rfam family: 6S / SsrS RNA
About the family: E. coli 6S RNA was the first non coding RNA to be sequenced, but its function was unknown until recently. It consists of 184 nucleotides that fold into an extended hairpin structure with a large single-stranded internal bulge. The 6S RNA specifically associates with RNA polymerase holoenzyme containing the sigma70 specificity factor.
Source: Rfam